UGCAUAUCAAAGGUUCUAGGUGCUAUAUAUAUGAAAGUGAUAUAGUUAAAUGGGAAGACCGGUGAGAAACCGGCACGGACCCGCCACUGUAAUAAUCACGCCGCAUGAAGACGGCAACUCUUAGCAAGAUGUCACUGGGUGUGAACCUGGGAAGACGCGAAGGGAGAUUAAAGUCAGGAGACCUGCCUAGAUCAACAACACAAU
This 204-nucleotide non-coding RNA is filed under the name Paenibacillus ferrarius. Lineage: Bacteria; Bacillati; Bacillota; Bacilli; Caryophanales; Paenibacillaceae. The record is from RNAcentral.